This 497-nucleotide ribosomal RNA is filed under the name uncultured bacterium. Its description in RNAcentral is "partial 16S ribosomal RNA". It matches the Rfam family "Bacterial small subunit ribosomal RNA", at positions 28 to 507 of the family's 1533-position model. The record is from RNAcentral.
GAUGAACGCUGGCGGCGUGCCUAAUACAUGCAAGUCGAGCGAACGGACGAGAAGCUUGCUUCUCUGAUGUUAGCGGCGGACGGGUGAGUAACACGUGGAUAACCUACCUAUAAGACUGGGAUAACUUCGGGAAACCGUAGCUAAUACCGGAUAAUAUUUUGAACCGCAUGGUUCAAAAGUGAAAGACGGUCUUGCUGUCACUUAUAGAUGGAUCCGCGCUGCAUUAGCUAGUUGGUAAGGUAACGGCUUACCAAGGCAACGAUGCAUAGCCGACCUGAGAGGGUGAUCGGCCACACUGGAACUGAGACACGGUCCAGACUCCUAUGGGAGGCAGCAGUAGGGAAUCUUCCGCAAUGGGCGAAAGCCUGACGGAGCAACGCCGCGUGAGUGAUGAAGGUCCUCGGAUCGUAAAACUCUGUUAUUAGGGAAGAACAUAUGUGUAAGUAACUGUGCACAUCUUGACGGUACCUAAUCAGAAAGCCACGGCUAACUACGUG